AGAGUUUGAUCCUGGCUCAGGACGAACGCUGGCGGCGUGCUUAACACAUGCAAGUCGAGCGGAAAGGCCCUUCGGGGUACUCGAGCGGCGAACGGGUGAGUAACACGUGAGCAACCUGCCUUUAGCUCUGGGAUAGCUUCGGGAAACCGGAAUUAAUACCGGAUAUGACCACAACCGGCAUCGGAUGUGGUGGAAAGAUUUAUCGGCUAGAGAUGGACUCGCGGCCUAUCAGCUUGUUGGUGAGGUAACGGCCCACCAAGGCGACGACGGGUAGCCGGCCUGAGAGGGCGACCGGCCACACUGGGACUGAGACACGGCCCAGACUCCUACGGGAGGCAGCAGUGGGGAAUAUUGCGCAAUGGGCGAAAGCCUGACGCAGCAACGCCGCGUGGGGGAUGAAUGCCUUCGGGUUGUAAACCCCUUUCAGCAGGGACGAAGCGAAAGUGACGGUACCUGCAGAAGAAGCGCCGGCUAACUACGUGCCAGCAGCCGCGGUAAUACGUAGGGCGCAAGCGUUGUCCGGAAUUAUUGGGCGUAAAGAGCUCGUAGGUGGUUUGUUACGUCCGCUGUGAAAACCUAGGGCUUAACCCUGGGCCUGCAGUGGAUACGGGCAGACUAGAGGUAGGUAGGGGAGAAUGGAAUUCCCGGUGUAGCGGUGAAAUGCGCAGAUAUCGGGAGGAACACCGGUGGCGAAGGCGGUUCUCUGUGCCUUACCUGACACUGAGGAGCGAAAGCGUGGGGAGCGAACAGGAUUAGAUACCCUGGUAGUCCACGCCGUAAACGUUGGGCGCUAGGUGUGGGGUCCUUCCACGGAUUCCGUGCCGCAGCUAACGCAUUAAGCGCCCCGCCUGGGGAGUACGGCCGCAAGGCUAAAACUCAAAGGAAUUGACGG
Molecule: ribosomal RNA, 892 nt
Filed under: uncultured bacterium
Lineage: Bacteria
Description: bacterial SSU rRNA
Rfam family: Bacterial small subunit ribosomal RNA
Source: RNAcentral